GAUGAACGCUGGCGGCGUGCCUAAUACAUGCAAGUCGAGCGAACGGACGAGAAGCUUGCUUCUCUGAUGUUAGCGGCGGACGGGUGAGUAACACGUGGAUAACCUACCUAUAAGACUGGGAUAACUUCGGGAAACCGGAGCUAAUACCGGAUAAUAUUUUGAACCGCAUGGUUCAAAAGUGAAAGACGGUCUUGCUGUCACUUAUAGAUGGAUCCGCGCUGCAUUAGCUAGUUGGUAAGGUAACGGCUUACCAAGGCAACGAUGCAUAGCCGACCUGAGAGGGUGAUCGGCCACACUGGAGCUGAGACACGGUCCAGACUCCUACGGGAGGCAGCAGUAGGGAAUCUUCCGCAAUGGGCGAAAGCCUGACGGAGCAACGCCGCGUGAGUGAUGAAGGUCUUCGGAUCGUAAAACUCUGUUAUUAGGGAAGAACAUAUGUGUAAGUAACUGUGCACAUCUUGACGGUACCUAAUCAGAAAGCCACGGCUAACUACGUGCCAGCAGCCGCGGUAAUACGUAGGUGGCAAGCGUUAUCCGGAAUUAUUGGGCGUAAAGCGCGCGUAGGCGGUUUUUUAAGUCUGAUGUGAAAGCCCACGGCUCAACCGUGGAGGGUCAUUGGAAACUGGAAAACUUGAGUGCAGAAGAGGAAAGUGGAAUUCCAUGUGUAGCGGUGAAAUGCGCAGAGAUAUGGAGGAACACCAGUGGCGAAGGCGACUUUCUGGUCUGUAACUGACGCUGAUGUGCGAAAGCGUGGGGAUCAAACAGGAUUAGAUACCCUGGUAGUCCACGCCGUAAACGAUGAGUGCUAAGUGUUAGGGGGUUUCCGCCCCUUAGUGCUGCAGCUAACGCAUUAAGCACUCCGCCUGGGGAGUACGACCGCAAGGUUGAAACUCAAAGGAAUUGACGGGGACCCGCACAAGCGGUGGAGCAUGUGGUUUAAUUCGAAGCAACGCGAAGAACCUUACCAAAUCUUGACAUCCUUUGACAACUCUAGAGAUAGAGCCUUCCCCUUCGGGGGACAAAGUGACAGGUGGUGCAUGGUUGUCGUCAGCUCGUGUCGUGAGAUGUUGGGUUAAGUCCCGCAACGAGCGCAACCCUUAAGCUUAGUUGCCAUCAUUAAGUUGGGCACUCUAAGUUGACUGCCGGUGACAAACCGGAGGAAGGUGGGGAUGACGUCAAAUCAUCAUGCCCCUUAUGAUUUGGGCUACACACGUGCUACAAUGGACAAUACAAAGGGCAGCGAAACCGCGAGGUCAAGCAAAUCCCAUAAAGUUGUUCUCAGUUCGGAUUGUAGUCUGCAACUCGACUACAUGAAGCUGGAAUCGCUAGUAAUCGUAGAUCAGCAUGCUACGGUGAAUACGUUCCCGGGUCU
RNAcentral lists this ribosomal RNA (1372 nucleotides) under uncultured bacterium. RNAcentral's name for it is "bacterial SSU rRNA". It matches the Rfam family "Bacterial small subunit ribosomal RNA", at positions 28 to 1381 of the family's 1533-position model. The record is from RNAcentral.